GAUAAACGCUGGCGGCGUGCUUAACACAUGCAAGUCGAACGAAGUUUUUCCUUCGGGAGCAACUUAGUGGCGGACGGGUGAGUAACGCGUGGGUAACCUGCCCUGUACAGGGGGACAACAGCUGGAAACGGCUGCUAAUACCGCAUAAGCCCUUAGCACUGCAUGGUGCAUAGGGAAAAGGAGCAAUCCGGUACAGGAUGGACCCGCGUCUGAUUAGCCAGUUGGCAGGGUAACGGCCUACCAAAGCGACGAUCAGUAGCCGAUCUGAGAGGAUGUACGGCCACAUUGGGACUGAGACACGGCCCAGACUCCCACGGGAGGCAGCAGUGGGGAAUAUUGCACAAUGGAGGAAACUCUGAUGCAGCGACGCCGCGUGAGUGAAGAAGUAUUUCGGUAUGUAAAGCUCUAUCAGCAGGGAAGAAAAUGACGGUACCUGACUAAGAAGCACCGGCUAAAUACGUG
Molecule: ribosomal RNA, 462 nt
Filed under: uncultured bacterium
Lineage: Bacteria
Description: partial 16S ribosomal RNA
Rfam family: Bacterial small subunit ribosomal RNA
Source: RNAcentral